UACUACUCAGAGGAAAAAAACAAACAAACAAACAAAAAACAAAAAACAAUGGAAUCUUGAAAUUCACAGGCAAAUGGAUGGAACUAGAAGAAACCAUCCUGAGUGAGUGCCUUCAUCCAGUAGCUGAUGGAAGCAGAGGCAGAUACCCACAGCUAAACACUGAGAUGAACUCUGGAAUCCAGUUGCAGAGAAGGAGGAGUGAUUAACAAAGGGGUCAAGACCAGACCGGUGCUACAGGUGAUGGAGACAGAGUUGCCGGUGGUCAUGUUCCUGCUCACCCUGGCUCUGGAUACUCAGCAGCUCACUCCACUUUCUUGUCUAGUACCUGCUACGUGAGGAUGAAGCUGAUCAAGCUACAAAAUCUGGAUGGUGACUGAUGAUGUCUUCCUGGCUGUCCUGGGCAGCAG
This 407-nucleotide long non-coding RNA is filed under the name Cricetulus griseus (Chinese hamster). RNAcentral's name for it is "lncRNA (ENSCGRG00015040089.1)". The record is from RNAcentral. Lineage: Eukaryota; Metazoa; Chordata; Mammalia; Rodentia; Cricetidae.